GGGUGCUUAGCUCAGUUGGUAGAGCAGCGCCCUUACAAGGCGCGGGUCGGGAGUUCGAGCCUCUCAGCACCCACCA
Molecule: transfer RNA, 76 nt
Filed under: Ralstonia pickettii
Lineage: Bacteria; Pseudomonadati; Pseudomonadota; Betaproteobacteria; Burkholderiales; Burkholderiaceae
Also listed under: 103 other names
Description: tRNA-Val
Rfam family: tRNA
About the family: Transfer RNA (tRNA) molecules are approximately 80 nucleotides in length.
Source: RNAcentral